Molecule: ribosomal RNA, 450 nt
Filed under: uncultured bacterium
Lineage: Bacteria
Description: partial 16S ribosomal RNA
Rfam family: Bacterial small subunit ribosomal RNA
Source: RNAcentral
CCUACGGGGGGCUGCAGUGAGGUAUAUUGGUCAAUGGACGAGAGUCUGAACCAGCCAAGUCGCGUGAAGGAAGAAGGUUCUAUGGAUUGUAAACUUCUUUUGUAAGGGAAUAAAAAAGGCCACGUGUGGCUUCUUGUAUGUACUUUACGAAUAAGGAUCGGCUAACUCCGUGCCAGCAGCCGCGGUAAUACGGAGGAUCCGGGCGUUAUCCGGUUUUAUGGGGUUGAAGGGGUACCUGUAAGUAAGUGGUGAAAGUUUGCAGCUCAACUGUAAAAUUGCCAUUGAAACUAUUGGUCUUGAGUGUAAAUGAGGUAGGCGGAAUGUGUUGUGUAGCGGUGAAAUGCUUAGAUAUAACACAGAACACCAAUUGCGAAGGCAGCUUACUAGGAUACAACUGACGCUGAGGCACGAAAGCGUGGGGAUCAAACAGGAUUAGAUACCCGAGUAGUC